This 492-nucleotide ribosomal RNA is filed under the name uncultured bacterium. RNAcentral's name for it is "partial 16S ribosomal RNA". It matches the Rfam family "Bacterial small subunit ribosomal RNA", at positions 29 to 507 of the family's 1533-position model. The record is from RNAcentral.
AGUGAACGCUGGCGGUAGGCCUAACACAUGCAAGUCGAACGGCAGCACAGUAAGAGCUUGCUCUUACGGGUGGCGAGUGGCGGACGGGUGAGGAAUACAUCGGAAUCUACUUUUUCGUGGGGGAUAACGUAGGGAAACUUACGCUAAUACCGCAUACGACCUACGGGUGAAAGCAGGGGAUCUUCGGACCUUGCGCGAUUGAAUGAGCCGAUGUCGGAUUAGCUAGUUGGCGGGGUAAAGGCCCACCAAGGCGACGAUCCGUAGCUGGUCUGAGAGGAUGAUCAGCCACACUGGAACUGAGACAAGGUCCAGGCUCCUAAGGGAGGCAGCAGUGGGGAAUAUUGGAACAUGGGGGCAAGCCUGAUCCAGCCAUACCGGGUGGGUGAAGAAGGGCUUCCGGUUGUAAAACCCUUUUGUUGGGAAAGAAAAGCAGCAGGUUAAUACCCCGCUGUUCUGACGGUACCCAAAGAAUAAGCACCGGCUAACUUCGUG